RNAcentral lists this ribosomal RNA (523 nucleotides) under uncultured bacterium. Its description in RNAcentral is "partial 16S ribosomal RNA". It matches the Rfam family "Bacterial small subunit ribosomal RNA", at positions 355 to 868 of the family's 1533-position model. The record is from RNAcentral.
UGGGGAAUCUUCCGCAAUGGACGAAAGUCUGACGGAGCAACGCCGCGUGUAUGAUGAAGGUCUUCGGAUUGUAAAGUACUGUCAUUGGGGAAGAACGGUUUUCUUGAAAAGAUUGAGAAGACAUGACGGUACCCAAGGAGGAAGCCCCGGCUAACUACGUGCCAGUAGCCGCGGUAAUACGUAGGGGGCAAGCGUUGUCCGGAAUUAUUGGGCGUAAAGGGCGCGUAGGCGGGCCUUUAAGUCCGGUGUGAAAGAUCAGGGCUCAACCCUGAGAGUGCAUCGGAAACUGGAGGCCUUGAGGACAGGAGAGGAAAGUGGAAUUCCACGUGUAGCGGUGAAAUGCGUAGAUAUGUGGAGGAACACCAGUGGCGAAGGCGACUUUCUGGACUGUAACUGACGCUGAGGCGCGAAAGCGUGGGGAGCAAACAGGAUUAGAUACCCUGGUAGUCCACGCCGUAAACGAUGAGUGCUAGGUGUAGAGGGUAUCGACCCCUUCUGUGCCGCAGUUAACACAAUAAGCACU